CCCCUAGCCAAGAACAGUCUGCACAGAGUAGACAGACCUUGUCACCUUAGUAGUUCGAUUCUUCGAAAUAUAUGUGAAAACUCUCUUAAAAAUUCUCUCCCCGGCACCUUCCUGUUAGCAAUUCUCCAGCCAUAUAUAUAUAUAUACUCCGUUUAAAAUGAUCUUGUGAAGAGAAAAAUAUUCUGCAAGGCUUCCUUCGAACCUUAUAGAGAACAGCAACAGAACGAAAUUUCAUUGAAGUAAACAGCCGGCAAAUCGGCAAUUAACAAGCUGCCAUC
Molecule: non-coding RNA, 278 nt
Organism: Paramuricea clavata
Lineage: Eukaryota; Metazoa; Cnidaria; Anthozoa; Malacalcyonacea; Plexauridae
Source: the annotation of a GenBank genome assembly